Molecule: transfer RNA, 92 nt
Rfam family: tRNA
About the family: Transfer RNA (tRNA) molecules are approximately 80 nucleotides in length. Their secondary structure includes four short double-helical elements and three loops (D, anti-codon, and T loops). Further hydrogen bonds mediate the characteristic L-shaped molecular structure. tRNAs have two regions of fundamental functional importance: the anti-codon, which is responsible for specific mRNA codon recognition, and the 3' end, to which the tRNAs corresponding amino acid is attached (by aminoacyl-tRNA synthetases). tRNAs cope with the degeneracy of the genetic code in two manners: having more than one tRNA (with a specific anti-codon) for a particular amino acid; and 'wobble' base-pairing, i.e. permitting non-standard base-pairing at the 3rd anti-codon position.
Source: Rfam
GGUUUUGUAGUGUAGCGGUUAUCACUCCGGAUUCUGAUUCGCUUGAUGUCAGGAGAUUUCCGGCAACCCCGGUUCGAUUCCGGGCAAGACCU